Molecule: ribosomal RNA, 253 nt
Filed under: uncultured bacterium
Lineage: Bacteria
Description: partial 16S ribosomal RNA
Rfam family: Bacterial small subunit ribosomal RNA
Source: RNAcentral
UACGGAGGGUGCGAGCGUUGUUCGGAAUCACUGGGCGUAAAGGGCGUGUAGGCGGUCCGCUAAGUCUGAUGUGAAAGCCCUGGGCUCAACCUGGGAAUGGCAUUGGAAACUGGCGACCUAGAGUGCGGUAGAGGGUAGUGGAAUUCCCGGUGUAGCAGUGAAAUGCGUAGAGAUCGGGAGGAACAUCUGUGGCGAAGGCGACUGCCUGGACCAGCACUGACACUGAGGCACGAAAGCGUGGGGAGCAAACAGG